AGCCUGACGCUUGACGACUCUAAAAUGAAAAAGCGCAGUCUUUCCUGAAAAGGCGACACCCUCUGUUUGCUGGAAUUUCCAAAUCGGAUACCAGCAGCCAUCGGACAGCGAUGGUUCACAGAUCAAAUUAGGGUGGUCUGUCGUUGAAGUGAUUCUUCAACGAUGGAUAAAGAUAUGACCGGUCCGAUCUUUGACCAGAUCAGGAACCCACGUUCCGUAGGUGAACCUGCGGAAGGAUCAUUACUGAGAUAGGGUCCUCGUGGCCCGACCUCCAACCCUUUGUUUAAUUUACCCUUGUUGCUUUGGCAGGCCCGUCUUUCGGGACCGCCGGAGGUGAUUCUUCACUUCUGGUCAGUGCUUGCCAUUAGCCAAUUGAAAUUCUCUUUAAAUAAUGCAGUCUGAAUCUUUAAUUAAAUCAAUUAAAACUUUCAACAACGGAUCUCUUGGUUCUGGCAUCGAUGAAGAACGCAGCGAAAUGCGAUAAGUAAUGUGAAUUGCAGAAUUCAGUGAAUCAUCGAAUCUUUGAACGCACAUUGCGCCCUUUGGUAUUCCGAAGGGCAUGCCUGUUCGAGCGUCAUUAUCCACCCUCAAGCCUGGCUUGUUAAUGGGUCUUAUCGGUCAAAUGAUAGACCUCAAAGAUAAUGGCGGCGUCAUGAUAGACCCCAGGUGCAGCGAGCUUUAAGCAUACACUGAGGUGGUCGUUAUGUCCCGGCCUUUCUUUUUUAUCUGCUUGAAAAAGCAGGUAAGAUUUUUUUUCAAAGGUUGACCUCGGAUCAGGUAGGAAUACCCGCUGAACUUAAGCAUAUCAAUAAGCGGAGGAAAAGAAACCAACAGGGAUUGCCUCAGUAACGGCGAGUGAAGCGGCAAUAGCUCAAAUUUGAAAUCUGGCAUCAGCCCGAGUUGUAAUUUGUAGAGGAUGUUUCGGUCAAGGCUUCGGUUUAAAUUUCUUGGAACAGAAUGUCAUAGAGGGUGAGAAUCCCGUCUAGAACCGUCUGCCGCGUCCAUGUGAAACUCCUUCGACGAGUCGAGUUGUUUGGGAAUGCAGCUCUAAAUGGGAGGUAAAUUUCUUCUAAAGCUAAAUAUUGGCCAGAGACCGAUAGCGCACAAGUAGAGUGAUCGAAAGAUGAAAAGCACUUUGAAAAGAGAGUUAAACAGUAUGUGAAAUUGUUGAAAGGGAAGCGUUUGCAACCAGACUUGUGUGUAAUGGUUCAACCACCGUUCUCGGUGGCCCAUUCCAUUAUAUCCAGGCCAGCAUCGGUUUGGGUGGUUAGUUAAAGGCCUUGGGAAUGUAUCAACCUCCGGGUUGACUUAUAGCCCUCGGUGUCAUGUAACCUAUCUAGACCGAGGUACGCG
This 1353-nucleotide ribosomal RNA is filed under the name Eurotiomycetes sp. genotype 400. RNAcentral's name for it is "eukaryotic LSU rRNA". The stretch from base 764 to 1353 matches the Rfam family "Eukaryotic large subunit ribosomal RNA", at positions 1 to 600 of the family's 3401-position model. Lineage: Eukaryota; Fungi; Ascomycota; Eurotiomycetes. The record is from RNAcentral.